RNAcentral lists this ribosomal RNA (465 nucleotides) under uncultured Streptococcus sp. RNAcentral's name for it is "bacterial SSU rRNA". It matches the Rfam family "Bacterial small subunit ribosomal RNA", at positions 338 to 795 of the family's 1533-position model. Lineage: Bacteria; Bacillati; Bacillota; Bacilli; Lactobacillales; Streptococcaceae. The record is from RNAcentral.
CCUACGGGAGGCAGCAGUAGGGAAUCUUCGGCAAUGGACGGAAGUCUGACCGAGCAACGCCGCGUGAGUGAAGAAGGUUUUCGGAUCGUAAAGCUCUGUUGUAAGAGAAGAAUGAGUGUGAGAGUGGAAAGUUCACACUGUGACGGUAUCUUACCAGAAAGGGACGGCUAACUACGUGCCAGCAGCCGCGGUAAUACGUAGGUCCCGAGCGUUGUCCGGAUUUAUUGGGCGUAAAGCGAGCGCAGGCGGUUAGAUAAGUCUGAAGUUAAAGGCUGUGGCUUAACCAUAGUACGCUUUGGAAACUGUUUAACUUGAGUGCAAGAGGGGAGAGUGGAAUUCCAUGUGUAGCGGUGAAAUGCGUAGAUAUAUGGAGGAACACCGGUGGCGAAAGCGGCUCUCUGGCUUGUAACUGACGCUGAGGCUCGAAAGCGUGGGGAGCAAACAGGAUUAGAUACCCUGGUAGUC